Molecule: ribosomal RNA, 2303 nt
Filed under: Escherichia coli
Lineage: Bacteria; Pseudomonadati; Pseudomonadota; Gammaproteobacteria; Enterobacterales; Enterobacteriaceae
Description: partial 23S ribosomal RNA
Rfam family: Bacterial large subunit ribosomal RNA
Source: RNAcentral
GGAGCCGAAGGGAAACCGAGUCUUAACUGGGCGUUAAGUUGCAGGGUAUAGACCCGAAACCCGGUGAUCUAGCCAUGGGCAGGUUGAAGGUUGGGUAACACUAACUGGAGGACCGAACCGACUAAUGUUGAAAAAUUAGCGGAUGACUUGUGGCUGGGGGUGAAAGGCCAAUCAAACCGGGAGAUAGCUGGUUCUCCCCGAAAGCUAUUUAGGUAGCGCCUCGUGAAUUCAUCUCCGGGGGUAGAGCACUGUUUCGGCAAGGGGGUCAUCCCGACUUACCAACCCGAUGCAAACUGCGAAUACCGGAGAAUGUUAUCACGGGAGACACACGGCGGGUGCUAACGUCCGUCGUGAAGAGGGAAACAACCCAGACCGCCAGCUAAGGUCCCAAAGUCAUGGUUAAGUGGGAAACGAUGUGGGAAGGCCCAGACAGCCAGGAUGUUGGCUUAGAAGCAGCCAUCAUUUAAAGAAAGCGUAAUAGCUCACUGGUCGAGUCGGCCUGCGCGGAAGAUGUAACGGGGCUAAACCAUGCACCGAAGCUGCGGCAGCGACACUGUGUGUUGUUGGGUAGGGGAGCGUUCUGUAAGCCUGUGAAGGUGUGCUGUGAGGCAUGCUGGAGGUAUCAGAAGUGCGAAUGCUGACAUAAGUAACGAUAAAGCGGGUGAAAAGCCCGCUCGCCGGAAGACCAAGGGUUCCUGUCCAACGUUAAUCGGGGCAGGGUGAGUCGACCCCUAAGGCGAGGCCGAAAGGCGUAGUCGAUGGGAAACAGGUUAAUAUUCCUGUACUUGGUGUUACUGCGAAGGGGGGACGGAGAAGGCUAUGUUGGCCGGGCGACGGUUGUCCCGGUUUAAGCGUGUAGGCUGGUUUUCCAGGCAAAUCCGGAAAAUCAAGGCUGAGGCGUGAUGACGAGGCACUACGGUGCUGAAGCAACAAAUGCCCUGCUUCCAGGAAAAGCCUCUAAGCAUCAGGUAACAUCAAAUCGUACCCCAAACCGACACAGGUGGUCAGGUAGAGAAUACCAAGGCGCUUGAGAGAACUCGGGUGAAGGAACUAGGCAAAAUGGUGCCGUAACUUCGGGAGAAGGCACGCUGAUAUGUAGGUGAAGUCCCUCGCGGAUGGAGCUGAAAUCAGUCGAAGAUACCAGCUGGCUGCAACUGUUUAUUAAAAACACAGCACUGUGCAAACACGAAAGUGGACGUAUACGGUGUGACGCCUGCCCGGUGCCGGAAGGUUAAUUGAUGGGGUCAGCGCAAGCGAAGCUCUUGAUCGAAGCCCCGGUAAACGGCGGCCGUAACUAUAACGGUCCUAAGGUAGCGAAAUUCCUUGUCGGGUAAGUUCCGACCUGCACGAAUGGCGUAAUGAUGGCCAGGCUGUCUCCACCCGAGACUCAGUGAAAUUGAACUCGCUGUGAAGAUGCAGUGUACCCGCGGCAAGACGGAAAGACCCCGUGAACCUUUACUAUAGCUUGACACUGAACAUUGAGCCUUGAUGUGUAGGAUAGGUGGGAGGCUUUGAAGUGUGGACGCCAGUCUGCAUGGAGCCGACCUUGAAAUACCACCCUUUAAUGUUUGAUGUUCUAACGUGGACCCGUGAUCCGGGUUGCGGACAGUGUCUGGUGGGUAGUUUGACUGGGGCGGUCUCCUCCUAAAGAGUAACGGAGGAGCACGAAGGUUGGCUAAUCCUGGUCGGACAUCAGGAGGUUAGUGCAAUGGCAUAAGCCAGCUUGACUGCGAGCGUGACGGCGCGAGCAGGUGCGAAAGCAGGUCAUAGUGAUCCGGUGGUUCUGAAUGGAAGGGCCAUCGCUCAACGGAUAAAAGGUACUCCGGGGAUAACAGGCUGAUACCGCCCAAGAGUUCAUAUCGACGGCGGUGUUUGGCACCUCGAUGUCGGCUCAUCACAUCCUGGGGCUGAAGUAGGUCCCAAGGGUAUGGCUGUUCGCCAUUUAAAGUGGUACGCGAGCUGGGUUUAGAACGUCGUGAGACAGUUCGGUCCCUAUCUGCCGUGGGCGCUGGAGAACUGAGGGGGGCUGCUCCUAGUACGAGAGGACCGGAGUGGACGCAUCACUGGUGUUCGGGUUGUCAUGCCAAUGGCACUGCCCGGUAGCUAAAUGCGGAAGAGAUAAGUGCUGAAAGCAUCUAAGCACGAAACUUGCCCCGAGAUGAGUUCUCCCUGACCCUUUAAGGGUCCUGAAGGAACGUUGAAGACGACGACGUUGAUAGGCCGGGUGUGUAAGCGCAGCGAUGCGUUGAGCUAACCGGUACUAAUGAACCGUGAGGCUUAACCUUACAACGCCGAAGGUGUUU